This 460-nucleotide ribosomal RNA is filed under the name uncultured bacterium. RNAcentral describes it as "bacterial SSU rRNA". It matches the Rfam family "Bacterial small subunit ribosomal RNA", at positions 338 to 795 of the family's 1533-position model. The record is from RNAcentral.
CCUACGGGUGGCAGCAGUAAGGAAUAUUGGACAAUGCCCGCAAGGGUGAUCCAGCCAUGCCGCGUGCAGGAAGACGGCCCUAUGGGUUGUAAACUGCUUUUGUACCGGAGAAAACCUUUCCCUGCGGGGAGAGCUGAUCGUACGGUGAGAAUAAGCAUCGGCUAACUUCGUGCCAGCAGCCGCGGUAAGACGAAGGAUGCAAGCGUUAUCCGGAUUCAUUGGGUUUAAAGGGAGCGUAGGCGGUCUAAUAAGUCAGUGGUGAAAUCUCUCGGCUUAACUGAGAAAUGGCCAUUGAUACUGUUGGACUUGAGUACAGAUGCCGUUGGCGGAAUAUGACAUGUAGUGGUGAAAUACAUAGAGAUGUCAUAGAACACCGAUUGCGAAGGCAGCUAACGAAACUGUAACUGACGCUGAGGCUCGAAAGUGUGGGGAUCAAACAGGAUUAGAUACCCCUGUAGUC